GUUUUUUUUCUUACACUUGAAAUUCAUAACUCCUAAUGGGCAAUCCAGCUGAAUUAUAUUUCCAUAUGGUUAAAGAAAAAAUGACCAGUCAUUGAGAAAGAUAAAGACAUUUUCCAGUCAACCAUUAACAUCAGAACACAUACACCUUGUUUUAUUUGGCAAUUGGCCUCUGCUUUUUCAACUCCAACGCAAUGCUAACUUAAUAAUACAGAAGACAGUUCACUGACAGGGAGACCAUUCUGCCCCACCAGAACAGCGACACAAUUUAAAAUCGUUUCAAUUCUCAGUCAAGAAAGCCAGAAAUCCCUUUGGUCGUUGGAGGAAAUGGUUUCUGGAUCCUCCCUGGUAAAAUACAGGAAUUCACCCUCCCAUCAUGCAGCAGGUACGUCAGAGUUCAGCUUCUGUGGCAGUUUCCUCUGAGAACAUUUGCAAAGAGAGAUGCUCCCUGCGUACUCUCACAGUCUGGAGCAGAAAAGGGAUUGUGAUAAACUCCAGAAGAUGGGAUUCUUCAUAGUUGUCCUCAGUGUCUUUCCUCCUCUAAUUUGACAAAAUCAGGACUCACAUUUCAGGCUUCUUGCCUCCCCAAGCUGCAGCCACACCAGUAACUUUGUGCAAGCGCAGGUCUCAGUCACAGCCUUGAGCACGUGCAUGGUCUUGAAUGUGAUCACAGAUACAGACAGUUAACGAAUCAACACUCCUGCAUCAAUGGAUUCCUCUCUGGCUGGUAAAUAAAUCACAUUUGCUUUAUUUAAUUCUGUCUUCAAAAUUGUGCUCAAGACUUCCUUCCACCAUGAAGCUUGAAUUCAUCACUCACAUCCAAUUAUCCAAUAAAUUCAGCUCUUCACCAUUCCCAUUGUUCCCCAUUAUAACCUUUUUAGCCCUGAGAGUAUCCAUAGACCCCUUUAAAAAUGUGUGUGUGCACAUAUGUGUGCAUGCGUGCAUGCACAUGUGUGUGAGUGUGCAUAUGAGUGCAUGUGUGUGUGUGUGUGUGUUUCUGCUACCUCUAUUUGAAAACACAGGUAGCCACUGCACGGCCAUAUUAAUAUAUGUUGAUGGAUAAGUUUUAAAGCACAGAUAAUGCUCAUGUUUGCACAGGUGCAUACACUCACCAUCGCUGGAAGCUACCUAAGAACAAUUGUGAAGAUCUGAAAGCUGACAGACAGGUCAAUGAUUUUCACAGUCCAAGUUGAAGCAGAACAGCCAGGAGAGAGGAAGGGCUCUGGGUCACAGCUACCGGGAAAAUCCAGAAGCUUUUGGCAGCUGCCUUGCACCCUCCCAUCUUCAAGCUCUGGGCAGCGGUCGUUCCCUGGUGUCUGGAUCUGGGCACUGGCAUCAGAGUGAGAGGAAGCUUGAUACAGGCUCUUUGUCUCUAGUUUAACAAAGCACAGAGAUAGGACAUAAACUCAUGUCCACACGCUCCAGGAAAGCAUGCGUGUCCACGGCCGUUCUCAGAGAAAAUGAGAGAGCCCAGAGUCCUCAAGAAAACCUCUAAACAAUUCUCCAGCAAUUAAAAAUGGCCCCUCAGGAUGAAAGGUAGACAGCGACAUCUACUUUUAUCUGGUAAAACCAAUCGGACCUCACAGCAGUCAUUACGAGAAGAGCAUGUGUGUGAUUUUGGUCACUGACAGAAUGAAUUGUGU
This 1640-nucleotide long non-coding RNA is filed under the name Equus caballus (horse). RNAcentral's name for it is "lncRNA (ENSECAG00000056028.1)". The record is from RNAcentral. Lineage: Eukaryota; Metazoa; Chordata; Mammalia; Perissodactyla; Equidae.